RNAcentral lists this ribosomal RNA (681 nucleotides) under Corynebacterium variabile. RNAcentral describes it as "bacterial SSU rRNA". It matches the Rfam family "Bacterial small subunit ribosomal RNA", at positions 29 to 724 of the family's 1533-position model. The record is from RNAcentral. Lineage: Bacteria; Bacillati; Actinomycetota; Actinomycetes; Mycobacteriales; Corynebacteriaceae.
ACGAACGCUGGCGGCGUGCUUAACACAUGCAAGUCGAACGGAAAGGCCCUGCUUGCAGGGUACUCGAGUGGCGAACGGGUGAGUAACACGUGGGUGAUCUGCCCUGCACUUCGGGAUAAGCCUGGGAAACUGGGUCUAAUACCGGAUAGGACCAUCGUUUAGUGUCGGUGGUGGAAAGUUUUUCGGUGCAGGAUGAGCUCGCGGCCUAUCAGCUUGUUGGUGGGGUAAUGGCCUACCAAGGCGUCGACGGGUAGCCGGCCUGAGAGGGUGGACGGCCACAUUGGGACUGAGACACGGCCCAGACUCCUACGGGAGGCAGCAGUGGGGAAUAUUGCACAAUGGGCGCAAGCCUGAUGCAGCGACGCCGCGUGGGGGAUGAAGGCCUUCGGGUUGUAAACUCCUUUCAACCAUGACGAAGCAUUAUGUGACGGUAGUGGUAGAAGAAGCACCGGCUAACUACGUGCCAGCAGCCGCGGUAAUACGUAGGGUGCGAGCGUUGUCCGGAAUUACUGGGCGUAAAGAGCUCGUAGGUGGUUUGUCGCGUCGUCUGUGAAAUUCCGGGGCUUAACUCCGGGCGUGCAGGCGAUACGGGCAUAACUUGAGUGCUGUAGGGGAGACUGGAAUUCCUGGUGUAGCGGUGAAAUGCGCAGAUAUCAGGAGGAACACCGAUGGCGAAGGCAG